Molecule: ribosomal RNA, 506 nt
Filed under: uncultured bacterium
Lineage: Bacteria
Description: partial 16S ribosomal RNA
Rfam family: Bacterial small subunit ribosomal RNA
Source: RNAcentral
AUUGAACGCUGGCGGCAGGCCUAACACAUGCAAGUCGAACGGUAACAGGAAACAGCUUGCUGUUUCGCUGACGAGUGGCGGACGGGUGAGCAAUGUCUGGGAAACUGCCUGCUGGAGGGGGAUAACUACUGGAAACGGUAGCUAAUACCGCAUAACGUCGCAAGACCAAAGAGGGGGACCUUUGGGCCUCAUGCCAUCAGAUGUGCCCAGAUGGGAUUAGCUAGUAGGUGGGGUAACGGAUCACCUAGGCGAGGAUCACUAGCUGGUCAGAGAGGAUGACCAGCCACACUGGAACUGAGACACGGUCCAGACUCGUACGGGAGGCAGCAGUGGGGAAUAUUGCACAAUGGGCGCAAGCCUGAUGCAGCCAUGCCGCGUGUGUGAAGAAGGCCUUCGGGUUGUAAAGCACUUUCAGCGGGGAGGAAGGCGGUGAGGUUAAUAACCUCAUCGAUUGACGUUACCCGCAGAAGAAGCACCGGCUAACUCCGUGCCAGCCGCCGCCGUAA